CCUACGGGAGGCAGCAGUAGGGAAUCUUCCGCAAUGGGCGAAAGCCUGACGGAGCAACGCCGCGUGAGUGAUGAAGGUCUUCGGAUCGUAAAACUCUGUUAUUAGGGAAGAACAAAUGUGUAAGUAACUAUGCACGUCUUGACGGUACCUAAUCAGAAAGCCACGGCUAACUACGUGCCAGCAGCCGCGGUAAU
This 194-nucleotide ribosomal RNA is filed under the name Staphylococcus sp. At-VS5. RNAcentral's name for it is "partial 16S ribosomal RNA". It matches the Rfam family "Bacterial small subunit ribosomal RNA", at positions 338 to 524 of the family's 1533-position model. RNAcentral also lists the same sequence under 1 other name. Lineage: Bacteria; Bacillati; Bacillota; Bacilli; Caryophanales; Staphylococcaceae. The record is from RNAcentral.